This 720-nucleotide long non-coding RNA is filed under the name Gopherus agassizii (Agassiz's desert tortoise). RNAcentral describes it as "lncRNA (ENSGAGG00000015470.1)". The record is from RNAcentral. Lineage: Eukaryota; Metazoa; Chordata; Testudines; Testudinidae.
CGGGAAGAGCAUCCACCCCAUCUUCCCUUUGUGGUACUCAUGCCCGUGGUCGGCGUGUUGCAUCGUUCUCCCGGGCGAGGGUGCAAACAGACUAGCCUGCGGUUUGCUGUUCAUAGCCAGUUUCAUACAGACUACGAAAAGGCGAGUUGGUUUAUUCUUUACUAAACACUGGGGGAGGGACUAGGCUGUUUAGAAAAAAAUGUUUCAGGUGGACUAGCCCCUCCCCCCCAAUGCUGGAAAUCCUUGUAUCAGCUGUAGCGUCUUUAGGGCAGACGCCCGGGAUGCGAGUGGCUGUUCUGCCGGCUGGGGCUGGGACUGGGACAAGCUGCAGGGGCAAUUGUAUUCACGUAUUUGUGCUGCACCAGCUCCUGAGCCGGGCCGCGCGCAGCGUGGCAUUAACGAGACCAGGCGGCCCAGGCCCGCCGCCUCCCACCCUAUCAGACAAAGCAGUAACAUAAAGAAGUCCCAAGAGAUAAGAAGGAAAGAAAAACAGAGACACAGAUCAUCGUGCUUUGAAAAUAUUUGUACAGAGGUGAAGCUACCCAGACACUUGAAGCCUUGUGAGCAGGUGGCUAGCUGGGAACCAUCACUGCGUGCUGUGCCAAUACCCAGUGCUCUGCUCCUGAGUCAUUGCUUUCUUGGUUACAUUUACAUAACUAUUCCAACAUCUAGUUUGGUAAGAAGAAAAGAAAAUUGUGCUUGUUUGUCUCAGUGGGAGUU